AUACCUGGUACCGGGUCUUACCUCACCCGGAUAAUCCUUUGCGGCUGUGUGACUUCCGGGUUGUAUCAGCGAUAAAUAUGGACUAAUUAUCGUUUCAGAUAUGAUUCAAAUAUAUAUGCUGAUGUUAUCUACUGAGACCAUCACUUUCAAUGUAGAACAUCACUACAAUCGGUUGGGCUGCUAGAUUGGUAGCAACAUGAUGUAAGCUAGUGUCUGUUGAAACUCUAUUGUUGGUUGGGCAUCUAUUGCUUACUGGACUGCUAUAUUGGAUGGACCAUACGUGUUGGUUGAACAACAGUUACUAUAAAUGGAUGGACCGAAAGUUUUGGUUGGACCACCAGUGUUGUUUGGACUGCUUGUUGGACAGAAUGUGUGAUGGACAACUAGUAUUAUUUGAAUCACCGUUGGAUAGACAGCUUUUGUUUUAUCAGACAGCUAUAAUCAGUUGAUUUACAAGUUCCUGGAUCGCUAGUUCCUGGCGGAUAAAUAUUCCCUGUAUAGAAGGAAACAAAAAAGCUCUUUUGCUAACUGUAACAAUGACAUGGUUGGUGAAUUGGUAUCAGACAAUUUGCAGCCAAAACAACACAGUGAAGUGAUAGCCGAUUCCUUAAACUCAAAAUGGCAAAUAGAUUUACCGAAAAUAAUUGAUUAUUAUUAUGUCACUUGUCUAUUAUAACCUGCAUUUACAAAGUAUAAAGAGUGAUUAAUGAAAAUAUGAAGUCAGAUAAAGCAAAAACAAAUGUGCACACUUACAUAUUGUCUUGACAUUAAAAUAGAAAGUCAUAGAGAAUACAUCAUAGCUUUUGCUUUUCUGUGUUUUUUCCCGGCCAAAAAAUAAAAUUCCAGAAAUGUAA
This is a long non-coding RNA of Mya arenaria, 854 nucleotides long. RefSeq lists it as uncharacterized. The transcript is spliced from 2 exons. Lineage: Eukaryota; Metazoa; Mollusca; Bivalvia; Myida; Myidae. The record is from RefSeq and is a predicted model, not a curated record.